UACAUGAGUGGCAAGCGUUAUCCGUAUUUAUUGGGCGUAAAGGAUGCGUAGAUUGUAAAAGAAGUUAUGACUUACUAUAAUAGAACAAUUAGGUCUUUCAUAAAACCUUUUUACUAGAGUUUUUUUUAAGUAUGCGGCAUUUGUGAAUUAGUGAUGAAAUACUUUGAAUUUACAAGUAUCCCCUAUGUGUAAACAGCAUACUAGUUAAAACUGACAUUGAGGCAUUAAAGUAUGGCCAUCUAAUAGG
RNAcentral lists this ribosomal RNA (247 nucleotides) under uncultured bacterium. Its description in RNAcentral is "partial 16S ribosomal RNA". It matches the Rfam family "Bacterial small subunit ribosomal RNA", at positions 524 to 776 of the family's 1533-position model. The record is from RNAcentral.